Molecule: long non-coding RNA, 999 nt
Organism: Daktulosphaira vitifoliae (grape phylloxera)
Lineage: Eukaryota; Metazoa; Arthropoda; Insecta; Hemiptera; Phylloxeridae
Exons: 2
Source: RefSeq, a predicted model, not a curated record
UAUAAACUCGUUUACAUGAUUCAUAUAUCAUCGGGCACAAUUUUUGAGCACCUACCUACGUUAUUUAAAAACCGAAAUUAUAAAUUAUAAAAAAAAGAAUUAUAAGGAACAAGAGACAAAGUGGAAUUUCUUAAUUAUAGUGUACAAUAUAUUUUAUAAAACGUGAAAUUAAUCCUAUGGGCCGUAGUGUAAUUAAAUUGGCACGGAGUCGAUCAUUUAUCAUUCACACCUGUCAGACUAUUUUUCCAUGAUUCAAGUAUGAAUAAUUACUAAGUCUAGUAAGAAUUAGCAAAAAAUAAAUCUACAUUAAAAUUCACAAAGUAACGUGUUCCGAGACGUUGCGGAUUUAAAAGUAUUAUUAGCAAAAUCGCCACACUAAUAUUAGGUUAUCAAAAAUGUGCCUGCAUUUUUAACUUGUCAAAAUUAAAAAAUAUGUCUACAUAAUGGUACGUUUAAGGAUAUACAAGCGGAAAAAAUGAUAGGUUAUUCAUCGUUGUGAUAUUUUACUUUUAACUGUCAUCGGUUUCAUUUUGUAGAGUUAAUUUGGUGUUUAUACGAUUUAUGAUCAUUGUGACCAGUCAACAAACCGAAAGUAUCUAUUUGUUGUUAUGUUUUACCGCCGAAAUGAUUUAUUAAAGUGUCGAGAAGCUCAUUACGAAACGCAGUGUAUGAAAUCAAAUGAUUACAAGACAGUAAUUAUUAUGUACUUAAAUAUGAUGACUUGUAAAUACCUCGUGCGAUUACAUUUCUGUCGUGUGCCGUUGCGCUCAAAGCGAAACCAACUCGUCUUGUCCAACGCUAACACUGCCAGAGUUUGACGAACGAUCGAUACGUCUGAAAAGGCUAAUAAAAAAUUCAAAGCGAAAAUAGAAAAUAUAAAUAAAAAGAACUUAUGUAUUGAUCACAACCGGUUGUUGUGCGGAUGUCGCGGGAAACGCUGCACGGAAGCGGCGACCUAUUCGAUCGCACCGCACACAAACACAGGCGACCGCACAUUCA